UCGUAUGACCAGAUCACAACCUGAAUUACACUCAAUCUCAUCAGGUCUCAGAAGCUAAGCAGGCUUUAUCCUGGUUAUUACUUGGAUGGGAAAUUGCCUGGGAUUACCAGGCUUGUAGGCU
This 121-nucleotide ribosomal RNA is filed under the name Petromyzon marinus (sea lamprey). Lineage: Eukaryota; Metazoa; Chordata; Hyperoartia; Petromyzontiformes; Petromyzontidae. The record is from RNAcentral.